This 300-nucleotide signal recognition particle RNA is filed under the name Calypte anna (Anna's hummingbird). RNAcentral's name for it is "Metazoan signal recognition particle RNA". It matches the Rfam family "Metazoan signal recognition particle RNA". Rfam says of the family: The signal recognition particle (SRP) is a universally conserved ribonucleoprotein. It is involved in the co-translational targeting of proteins to membranes. Lineage: Eukaryota; Metazoa; Chordata; Aves; Apodiformes; Trochilidae. The record is from Rfam by way of RNAcentral.
GCCGGGCGCGGGGGCGCGCGCCUGUAGUCCCAGCUACUCGGGAGUCUGAGCCCGCCGGAUCGCUUGAGUCCAGGAGUUCUGGGCUGCAGUGCGCUAUGCCGAGCGGGCGUCCGCGCUAAGGCCGGCAUCAAUAUGGUGAGCCACGGGGAGCCGAGGCACACCAGGUUGACUAAGGAGGGGUGAACCGGCCCAGGUCGGAGACGGAGCAGGUCAAAGCUCCCGUGCCGGUCAGUAGCGGGAUCGCGCCUGUGAAUAGCCACUGCAGCGUAGCCUGGGCAACACAGAGAGACGCGGGUUCCU